Molecule: ribosomal RNA, 489 nt
Filed under: uncultured bacterium
Lineage: Bacteria
Description: partial 16S ribosomal RNA
Rfam family: Bacterial small subunit ribosomal RNA
Source: RNAcentral
AUUGAACGCUGGCGGCAUGCCUUACACAUGCAAGUCGAACGGCAUCGCGGGAAAGCUUGCUUUCCUGGCGGCGAGUGGCGAACGGGUGAGUAACACAUCGGAACGUACCGGCUAGUGGGGGAUAACCCGUCGAAAGACGGGCUAAUACCGCAUACGCUCUUCGGAGGAAAGCAGGGGACCUUUGGGCCUUGCGCUAGCCGAGCGGCCGAUGUCCGAUUAGCUAGUUGGUGGGGUAAAGGCCUACCAAGGCGACGAUCGGUAGCGGGUCUGAGAGGACGAUCCGCCCCACGGGGACUGAGACACGGCCCAGACUCCUACGGGAGGCAGCAGUGGGGAAGCUUGGACAAGGGGGGCAACCCUGACCCAGCAAGGCCGGGUGGGUGAAGAAGGCCUUCGGGUUGUAAAGCCCUUUGGGCAGGGAAAAAAUCGGGGGGGCGAAUAACCCUGCUGGAUGGCGGUACCGGCAGAAGAAGCACCGGCAAACUACGG